UGCAAGUCGUGGGGCAGCAGGUGUAGCAAUACAUGCUGGCGACCGGCAAACGGGUGCGGAACACGUACGCAACCUUCCUUUAACUGGAGAAUAGCCCCUCGAAAGAGGGAUUAAUACUCCGUAACAUAUUGAUAAGGCAUCUUAUUAAUAUUAUAGCUCCGGCGGUUAAAGAUGGGCGUGCGCCUGAUUAGGUAGUUGGCGGGGUAACGGCCCACCAAGCCUUCGAUCAGUAACUGGUGUGAGAGCACGACCAGUCACACGGGCACUGAGACACGGGCCCGACUCCUACGGGAGGCAGCAGUAAGGAAUAUUGGUCAAUGGACGCAAGUCUGAACCAGCCAUGCCGCGUGGAGGAUUAAGGCCCUCUGGGUUGUAAACUCCUUUUAUCUGGGAAGAAAUGCUUUGAUUCUUCAAAGUUUGACGGUACCAGAGGAAUAAGANNNNNNNNNNNNNNNNNNNNNNNNCGGUAAUACGGAGGGUGCAAGCGUUAUCCGGAUUCACUGGGUUUAAGGGUGCGUAGGCGGGUAAGUAAGUCCGUGGUGAAAUCUCUGAGCUUAACUCAGAAACUGCCGUGGAUACUAUUUGCCUUGAAUAUUGUGGAGGUGAGCGGAAUAUGUCAUGUAGCGGUGAAAUGCUUAGAUAUGACAUAGAACACCAAUUGCGAAGGCAGUUCACUACACAAUUAUUGACGCUGAGGCACGAAAGCGUGGGGAUCAAACAGGAUUAGAUACCCUGGUAGUCCACGCCCUAAACGAUGAUUACUCGACAUCAGCGAUACACUG
This 782-nucleotide ribosomal RNA is filed under the name uncultured Sphingobacteriales bacterium. RNAcentral describes it as "partial 16S ribosomal RNA". It matches the Rfam family "Bacterial small subunit ribosomal RNA", at positions 56 to 836 of the family's 1533-position model. Lineage: Bacteria; Pseudomonadati; Bacteroidota; Sphingobacteriia; Sphingobacteriales. The record is from RNAcentral.